AUGGACCUCCCCAAAUGUAAGCUUGCUGUGCGUUAUAGGGAGAAAUGUGCAGGGUCCUGGAACUGCAGUGACAGCACAGCCUCUUCGUCAGGCCAACGGAGACAAGGGGACUUUGCAGAUCUUUCAGCCUGUAGCUGCUCGUCAGGAAGGAGGCAGCCGUCUUCUCUCCCAGAUACACUGUGGUUCCCGCGUGCACUCUGUUCCACAUUUAGAAGGAAGGCGGCCCCCGUGACGAUAAGAGCUCACGGGAGAAUGCCUGGAACCGCGCGAAGAACCUGCGGAACAGUCAGGCCUGAACCCAGGACCUUGCUCCGGGCCCCGCUCGCCGCCGCACCCGCCUCCGCCGUGGCCCUGGACUACCCUCGGGAGGCUUGUAUAUGUCCCUCACCUAAGGACUUUGGGGGCCCUGCCACAAGCCACUCCCGAAACAGGUAGGUUAGCUGUGCCCUGCGCUGGGGGGGGGGGGGCUCACAGUCCUGCGGAGUGGAAGGCAUGUGGUCUGCGCUGCGGGGGCUCAGCGCUGCCCUUGGGGGGACUCACAGCCCUGCGGUCGGAGGCUCAGUCCUACGCACAGGGGGCGCACAGCCCUAAGCUUCGGGGGGCUCACAGCCCUGAGCUGGGGCUGCUCAGCCCUGCCGAGCGGAAGGCUCCUCCCGGACUCAGGAGCCCACUCUGCAGUGAGGCAGGCCCAUUCGGCAGCAUCCACUGCGCUCCCACUGGGUGCUGGGCACUGUGCAGGGGCCGCGAGACCAUGGCGAGACCAUGGCAAUGCCCACUAGGGUAAGUGAAAUUUAGUGAAGGGAAACCCCAUUAAAAGGGAGCCGGCGGGUCGGCAGGGGGUGCUCUCCCGCCCUGCCACCACCUGUCCAUUGCAGACCCAGCAGGAAGAGGGACUUGGCCUUCCAUGGACUUGACCUUGCCGGUGGGUACCACUCUACUGCUACAGCCUGAGGAAGGGAGCUGGCCUCAUGACCUCCCCGCCCCCACACACAACGGCUCCCUCCACCGAUGGGAAGCCACCACACUUCCGGUCCCAGUUUACCCCACUGGACUUCUAAUUCAUAACAGCACUCCCAACCACCUACCCCUUCCUCCUUAAAAAAGCACGCCUCUCCUUUGUUCCCCACACUCACCUAUUGUUUUGCUGCCGCUCAUUUGUCCCAAACUGCAAUUCUUUUUUAUUCCCUAAUCCAUCUUUUGCUGGUAAAAUAAGGGGCAGGGUCUAACAUAACACACCUUAAACAGGUCUGUAAACAGGUGCUGUGAAGUCAGCUUCCCCCUGGGCCAGCCUUACCCUGCAGAGGUGGACUGCGGAGCGACGUUUCCAUGGCGCCCUGAGUUUUCCCAGAGCUAGCAAGGAGUAGCUCUGGGAAGCCAGGGUUCCUACAGCCUGGCAGUGAGGGGGUGGGGGUGUGGUGCUGACAGGAGAAGGCACACAAGGUCAUUUUGGCCUCACAGAGCACUUUGGUCUUAAGGGCCCUGGAAGCCUACGCUCAGGAGUGGUGAGGCCAGGUUCCACCCGGGCAGAAAAGCCUGAGGGGUGGGAGCCGGAGAGAGGCUCAGGCUCACACUUGGGCAGAAGCCCAUGACUUUGUAGGGGGGCCCGGCUGGCUCAGUCAGUGGAGCAUGAGACUCAUCAUCUCAAGGUUGAGAGUUUGAGCCCCAAAUCAUCUGACUUCAGUUUAGAAGGGGUGGGCUGAAGAUCAGGUCAGAUGCUGGCUCAUUCACCAACCUGGGUGUGUGGCCUCGGGCACGCGGCUGCACGUACCUGGGACACGGCGUCGCCAGGAUCUGUGGCCCAUGCCUGUAGCAUGCUUGCGUGCCGGAGCGCUCAAGGAGCGAGAACUGAACGGUCAUGAGGAACGGUGGCAGAGCGCGAUGUACCCAAGAACGGGACAGGGAAGGCCCGACCCCAGGCUUUGGGCGUGGACGGGAGAGACUGCACACCUGUGUGGCUGGGCAGGGAUGGUCAGCAGACCACCAAGGGCUCAGAAUACCACAGAGGAGUUUGCACUUCCUCCUGGGGCUGGCGGGGAGAGAAGCGGCGGACAGAUCUGUGUGAAGAAUAGACCCGUCGGUUGCUGUGGAGGACAGGUGAGGGGCAGGGCGCUGUGGAAGCCCCACUGCUGAGAGAGGACAGAUGUGGGCAAGGAGGAAGGACUGAGCGCAGCCCAGCAGGGCCACCGAGCGACCACAUGGGGCCUUGAGUGGCUCUGGCCCGUGGUGAGGACCUCAGGACAGGAGAGGGAAAGGGCAGGUCCCGGGGCACAUGGAGGCUUUUUGCCUCCACCUGUGAUGGAGUGCUGUCCGCCAGGCAGGCCCUGACCACACAGCCCCACCCAAAAGUCUCUGGAAGGUGGGCGUGGGGCCAGGGGUGGGGUCUCUGCUAUUGUCAGGUCAAAGGCUAUUGGGUAUCACACAUGUUCCUGGCCGGGGCCUCUCUUGACCUGGAUCGACAGAAAGCAGGGCCCAAGGCAAAGCCUCGCGCAGGACUUUGGGUGAUGGGCCCUGCAGGGAGUCUGUGAGAACAGGACAGCAGGUGGGAUGGAGGGCGCCCGGGGAAGACCCAUCUCUGCUCGGAGCUCUCCAGCCACACGGGACCCUCCCUCAAAAAGCCAAGGAGAUCACACCUGAGGACAGUCCAGGGGAGAAAGGAGAAGAGUGUAUCCACCGGCUCCCAUGGGUCAGCUACACUCCCCUUCCAGACACGGUCAGAGGUCACAGAGCUCUGGGCCCCGUCGGGGUUGGGGGCCUGUGUGAUUCCGUGGUCUCUUGCAGGUGAUGUGCCCACUUCAGGGGUGCAGAGUUACCUGAGGCAGAGCCCCG
This 2826-nucleotide long non-coding RNA is filed under the name Zalophus californianus (California sea lion). Its description in RNAcentral is "lncRNA (ENSZCAG00015021917.1)". The record is from RNAcentral. Lineage: Eukaryota; Metazoa; Chordata; Mammalia; Carnivora; Otariidae.